Molecule: ribosomal RNA, 273 nt
Filed under: uncultured Parvimonas sp.
Lineage: Bacteria; Bacillati; Bacillota; Tissierellia; Tissierellales; Peptoniphilaceae
Description: partial 16S ribosomal RNA
Rfam family: Bacterial small subunit ribosomal RNA
Source: RNAcentral
UAUUUAACGAAAGUGGCGAACGGGUGAGUAACACGUGAGCAACCUGCCUUACACAGGGGGAUAGCCAUUGGAAACGGUGAUUAAUACCCCAUAAGACCACAAUACCGCAUGGUAAAAGGGUAAAAGGGAUACCGGUGUAAGAUGGGCUCGCGUCUGAUUAGCUAGUUGGUGGGGUAAAGGCCUACCAAGGCGACGAUCAGUAGCCGGUCUGAGAGGAUGAACGGCCACAUUGGAACUGAGACACGGUCCAAACUCCUACGGGAGGCAGCAGCG